This 253-nucleotide ribosomal RNA is filed under the name uncultured bacterium. RNAcentral describes it as "partial 16S ribosomal RNA". It matches the Rfam family "Bacterial small subunit ribosomal RNA", at positions 524 to 776 of the family's 1533-position model. The record is from RNAcentral.
GACAGAGGAUGCAAGCGUUAUCCGGAAUGAUUGGGCGUAAAGCGUCUGUAGGUGGCUUUUCAAGUCCGCCGUCAAAUCCCAGGGCUCAACCCUGGACAGGUGGUGGAAACUACCAAGCUGGAGUACGGUAGGGGCAGAGGGAAUUUCCGGUGGAGCGGUGAAAUGCGCAGAUAUCAGGAGGAACACCGAUGGCGAAGGCAGGUCUCUGGGCCACUACUGACGCUGAGAAGCGAAAGCAUGGGGAGCGAACAGG